RNAcentral lists this long non-coding RNA (1124 nucleotides) under Lonchura striata (white-rumped munia). RNAcentral describes it as "domestica (Bengalese finch) lncRNA (ENSLSDG00000003361.1)". Lineage: Eukaryota; Metazoa; Chordata; Aves; Passeriformes; Estrildidae. The record is from RNAcentral.
GGGGCAAACUGGGAGCACUGGGAGCACUGGGAGCGCGCGGGGCCGCCCGCGGGGCGGGACUGGGCGAACUGGGAGCGGGGGAGGCUCUUACUGGGGAUACUGGGAGCGGGGGAGGCUGUUACUGGGGAUACUGGGAGCGGGGGAGGCCGGGACUGGGGAUACUGGGAGCGGGGGAGGCUGUUACUGGGGAUACUGGGAGCGGGGGAGGCUGUUACUGGGGAUACUGGGACUGGGGGUGGCUGUUACUGGGGAUACUGGGAGCGGGGGAGGCCAGGACUGGGGAUACUGGGAGCGGGGGAGGCCGGGACUGGGCGAACUGGGAGCGGGGGAGGCUCUUACUGGGGAUACUGGGACUGGGGGCGGCUGUUACUGGUGAUACUGGGAACGGGGAAGGAUCUUUCUGGGGAUACUGGGAUUGGGGGUGGCUGUUACUGGUGAUACUGGGAACGGGGGAGGCUGUUACUGGGGAUACUGGGAGCGGGGGAUGCUGCUACUGGGGAUACUGGGAGCGGGGGAGGCUGUUACUGGGGAUACUGGGAGCAGGGGAGGCCGGGACUGGGAGUACUGGGAGCGGGGGAGGAUCUUACUGGGGAUACUGGGAGCGGGGGAGGCUGUUACUGGGGAUACUGGGAACGGGGGAGGCUGUUACUGGGGAUACUGGGAGCAGGGGAGGCUGUUACUGGGGAUACUGGGAGCAGGGGAGGCUGUUACUGGGCGAACUGGGAGCGGGGGAGGCCGGGACUGGGGAUACUGGGAGCGGGGGAGGAUCUUACUGGGGAUACUGGGAGCGGGGGAGGCUCUUACUGGGGAUACUGGGAGCGGGGGAUGCUGUUACUGGGGAUACUGGGAGCGGGGGAGGCUGUUACUGGUCAUACUGGGAACGGGGGAGGCUGUUACUGGGGAUACUGGGAGCGGGGGAGGAUCUUACUGGGGAUACUGGGACUGGGGGCGGCUCUUACUGAUGUGCGCGGAGCCCCCCUGGGCCGCGGGCCCUACGCCCCCUCCCCUUACGAGCGCCCAGCCUGGAACCCGCGCUUCUGCAUCAUCUCCGGCAACCAGCUGCUGAUGCUCGACGAGGAGGAGGUGAGCACCGGGAGGAUGGCUGGGGGGGUCCCCCAAAAAUC